AUACGGAGGAUCCGAGCGUUAUCCGGAUUUAUUGGGUUUAAAGGGUGCGUAGGCGGGACUGUAAGUCAGGGGCGAAAUACUGCAGCUUAACUGUAGCAUUGCCUUUGAAACUGCCGUUCUUGAGUACAGUUGAGGUAGGCGGAAUGUGGUGUGUAGCGGUGAAAUGCAUAGAUAUACCACAGAACGCCGAUUGCAAAGGCAGCUUACUAAGCUGUUACUGACGCUGAGGCACGAAAGCGUGGGGAUCAAACAGGAUUAGAUACCCUGGUAGUCCACGCUGUAAACGAUGAUUACUGGUUGUUAGCGAUAUAUAGCUAGUGACUGAGCGAAAGCAUUAAGUAAUCCACCUGGGGAGUGCGUCGGCAACGAUGAAACUCAAAUGAAUUGACGGGG
RNAcentral lists this ribosomal RNA (393 nucleotides) under uncultured bacterium. RNAcentral's name for it is "partial 16S ribosomal RNA". It matches the Rfam family "Bacterial small subunit ribosomal RNA", at positions 523 to 918 of the family's 1533-position model. The record is from RNAcentral.